RNAcentral lists this ribosomal RNA (236 nucleotides) under uncultured bacterium. RNAcentral describes it as "partial 16S ribosomal RNA". It matches the Rfam family "Bacterial small subunit ribosomal RNA", at positions 100 to 334 of the family's 1533-position model. The record is from RNAcentral.
CGGGACGGGUGAGUAACGCGUGGGUAACCUGCCCUGUACAGGGGGGUAACAAUCAGAAAUGACUGCUAAUACCGCAUAAGACCACAGCACCGCAUGGUGCAGGGGUAAAAACUCCGGUGGUACAGGAUGGACCCGCGUCUGAUUAGCUGGUUGGUGAGGUAACGGCUCACCAAGGCGACGAUCAGUAGCCGGCUUGAGAGAGUGAACGGCCACAUUGGGACUGAGACACGGCCCAA